UACGGGGGGGGCAAGCGUUGUUCGGAAUUACUGGGCGUAAAGGGCUCGUAGGCGGCCAACUAAGUCAGACGUGAAAUCCCUCGGCUUAACCGGGGAACUGCGUCUGAUACUGGAUGGCUUGAGUUCGGGAGAGGGAUGCGGAAUUCCAGGUGUAGCGGUGAAAUUCGUAGAUAUGGGGAGGAACACCGGUGGCGAAGGCGGCGUGCUGGACCCGAUCUGACGCUGAGGCGCGAAAGCCAGGGGAGCAAACGGG
Molecule: ribosomal RNA, 253 nt
Filed under: uncultured bacterium
Lineage: Bacteria
Description: partial 16S ribosomal RNA
Rfam family: Bacterial small subunit ribosomal RNA
Source: RNAcentral